Molecule: ribosomal RNA, 2394 nt
Filed under: Capitella teleta
Lineage: Eukaryota; Metazoa; Annelida; Polychaeta; Capitellidae
Description: Eukaryotic large subunit ribosomal RNA
Rfam family: Eukaryotic large subunit ribosomal RNA
Source: Rfam by way of RNAcentral
CGCGGCGAUUGAAUGUUGGCGGUUAAGGUGCCCGACUCUCGGACGCACAGCGGAACCCAGAAAAGGUGUUGGUGGAUAUAGACAGCAGGACGGUGGCCAUGGAAGUCGGCAUCCGCUAAGGAGUGUGUAACAACUCACCUGCCGAAUCCACUAGCCCUGAAAAUGGAUGGCGCUGUAGCGUUGGACCUAUACCCGCCCGCGGUGGCAAACUCUGAAGACAGGCCGCCGUGAGUAGGAGGGCGACGUGGUGCGCGCCGAAGCCUAGGGAGUGAUCCCGGGUGGAGCCGCCACGUGUGAAGAUCUUGGUGGUAGUAGCAAAUCAUUCAAAAGAGAACUUUGAAGACUGAAGUGGAGAAGGGUUCCAUGUGAACAGCAGUUGAACAUGGGUCAGUCGGCCCUAAAGGACAGGACAGUUCCGCACGGAACGCCGGGGAUGACAAUAAUUUUAUGGCACACCCCGGACCCUCCCUGAAAGGGAAUCGGGUUAAAAUUCCUGAACCCGGAGGUAGAGAACGCCCCCAUCUGGGGGCCAGAGCGGCAACACGAACAAACUGGGAGACGCUGGCGGGAGCCCCGGGAAGAGUUUUCUCUUCUUUGUAAAGGACGGAACCCCUGGAAUCGGUUUGGCCGGAGAUAGGGGCUUGGUUCCUGUAAAGCGCCGCGCUUCCGGCUGCGUCCGGUGCGCUUUCGCUGGCCCUUGAAAAUCCCAAGGAGCAGUGUGUCUCUACCCCGGUCCGUACCCAUAUCCGCAGCAGGUCUCCAAGGUGAACAGCCUCUAGUCCCUAGAACAAUGUAGGUGAGGGAAGUCGGCAAAUUGGAACCGUAACUUCGGGACAAGGUUUGGCUAUGAGGGUCGGGUCAGCUGGGUUGCUGCCGGAAGUGGGCGCGGGCUCCGAGCGAACGCGGCGUCGGGCGGGUCUUCUUCUUUCGUGGGGGUUGGCCUGCUCGGUGCAGGGCGGCGCAGGGGUCCUGCUUGCGGAAGGUGGCAGCUGCGCCUGCGGUGGUUUCGGUCGCCGUCAGGCCCCGGUUGGCGUCCGACGGCCAACUCAGAACUGGCACGGACAAGGGGAAUCCGACUGUCUAAUUAAAACAAAGCAUCCCGAAGGCCGUCCCCCGGCUUUGACGGGAUGUGAUUUCUGCCCAGUGCUUUGAAUAUCAAAGUGAAGAAAUUCAAUCAAGCGCAGGUAAACGGCGGGAGUAACUAUGACUCUCUUAAGGUAGCCAAAUGCCUUGUCAUCCAAUUGGUGACGCGCAUGAAUGGAUCAACGAGAUUCCCACUGUCCCCAUCUACUAUCUACAAAAAAAACCACAGCCAGGGGAACGGGCCUGGGUCCUUCGUCGGGGAAAGAAGACCCUGUUGAGCUUGACAGCAGUUUGGCUUUGUACGGAGGCACCAGAGGUGUAGAAUAGGCGGGAGACUUCGGUCGCCGGUGAAAUACCGCCACUCUGGUAGCUUCCGCACUCACUCUGUGAUGAGACAUCGGCGCGGCGAGCUGUCGGUUUUGCCGCAGCUCGUCGUCGUCUUCAUUUCUAGCCUUAAGGGCGGGGGGCUCGUCCUCCCGCCUUAGCCCUGCAGAGGACAUAGUCAGGUGGGCUGUUUGAUUGGGGCGGUACAUCUGUCAAAAGGUAACGCAGGUGUCCCAAGGAUGGCUCAGCGAGGACAGAAACCUCGCGUAGAGCAAAAGGGCAAAAGCCAUCUUGAUCCUGAUUUUCAGUCCGAAUACGGACCGCGAAAGCGGGGCCUAUCGAUCCUUUUUGAACUUUGGAGUUUGAAGCAAGAGGUGUCAGAAAAGUUACCACAGGGAUAACUGGCUUGUGGCAGCCAAGCGUUCAUAGCGACGUUGCUUUUUGAUCCUUCGAUGUCGGCUCUUCCUAUCAUUGCGAAGCAGAAUUCGCAAAGCGUUGAAUUGUUCACCCACUAACAGGGAACGUGAGCUGGGUUUAGACCGUCGUGAGACAGGUUAGUUUUACCCUAAUGAAGGUCUAGUUGUGGCGCCGGCAAUCCUGCUCAGUACGAGAGGAACAGCAGGCUCGGACAUUUGGUCGAGCGCUUGUUUGAAAAGGCAUCGGCGCCAGGCUACCGUCCGCGAGAUUAUGACUGAACGCCUCUAAGUCAGAAGCUCGCCCAACAAAGCAAUGACACCAAACCGCGCCCUAGCGCUUGGGAGGCAGCGCUACCCAUCUGGUCUUCGGACCAGGCGGAUCCAUGCCGCAGUGCCCGCUACAUCCGGACCGCCGCAAUCGGUGCCGGGAGGUCGUGCGUAUCAGACGCAUCGAACGCAUGGGCGCAAAAUCUCUUGCAUACGACUUUAUUUGAGUCUGGGUGCCGUCCGCGGCAGAGCAGCCUCGCGCUGCGAUCCGUUGAGGCUAAUCCCAAGACUCGGACGGAUUUGU